Molecule: ribosomal RNA, 465 nt
Filed under: Vreelandella stevensii
Lineage: Bacteria; Pseudomonadati; Pseudomonadota; Gammaproteobacteria; Oceanospirillales; Halomonadaceae
Description: partial 16S ribosomal RNA
Rfam family: Bacterial small subunit ribosomal RNA
Source: RNAcentral
CCUAUGGGUGGCAGCAGUGGGGAAUAUUGGACAAUGGGGGGAACCCUGAUCCAGCCAUGCCGCGUGUGUGAAGAAGGCCCUCGGGUUGUAAAGCACUUUCAGUGAGGAAGAACGCCUGGUGGUUAAUACCCAUCAGGAAAGACAUCACUCACAGAAGAAGCACCGGCUAACUCCGUGCCAGCAGCCGCGGUAAUACGGAGGGUGCGAGCGUUAAUCGGAAUUACUGGGCGUAAAGCGCGCGUAGGUGGCUUGAUAAGCCGGUUGUGAAAGCCCCGGGCUCAACCUGGGAACGGCAUCCGGAACUGUCAAGCUAGAGUGCAGGAGAGGAAGGUAGAAUUCCCGGUGUAGCGGUGAAAUGCGUAGAGAUCGGGAGGAAUACCAGUGGCGAAGGCGGCCUUCUGGACUGACACUGACACUGAGGUGCGAAAGCGUGGGUAGCAAACAGGAUUAGAUACCCCAGUAGUC